UAGAGUUGAUAAUACCUAACCAGUAGGAUUGUUGUAAGGAUUAAAUGGGUAAAAAGUCAGUGUAGAUACGUUUACAACUGGAGCACAUACUUAGUAAAUGCUUAGUGACUAUUCUAUCAACUUAGUGGGCAAUACUUAAAAUGAGAUGUGGUGCCUAUUGUGAACCCUGGUGUCCAUGGGGCAUGUCAUGUGUAAAAUUCAGGGUAUGGCAGUCUCAUCUUGGUAAGGAUUUAUAAAUGAAAAUUUCCCAGGCAGGCCUAGUCAGAAUGACAGCUUGCAUCCUUAAAGACCAUAGGAAAUUGUGUGGCUUCAAGCAUCACUAACUUUUAUGUCAAGGUCCAUAGACUUGCAUUUUCAAGAGCAACUCCUCAACUCUUACCCUGCUAUUUACAAGUGCUGAUCCUCAAAUGAUGUUUCCAGUUACUAUGCGAGUUAGAAGUCAGGUUUUUCUUGUCUUUCACAUUUUUCUCCUUCAUAUAGCCUAGUGCUAAGCCCUUACAUUUCUUGCUUAAAAUAUCUCUCCCAGAUCUGAGGUUUUGACUUCAUGUUCCCAACCUUAGUGCAAGCUCUUAGCACCCCCUCCCCACUAGGUUAGAGUAAGAAUCUCUUGGCUUAUUUCCCUGACAGAAGGUACUUCUCCUAUAUGUAAGCUGCCAUAGCACCACUAGAAAAAUCUUUCCAAAAUUGUAAUUUGAUAUAGUAUGUCCCCUUCAGCUAUCUAUAAUAAUUCCAUGACAAUAAAUGCAACCUCUCCACCACUUACUUCAUUUUGGUUUUGAAUUCUACAAAGCACAGAUUUAAGAAGCACAAGUUCUUGCAUCCUCCUUCACCACUGAAGUCCCUGUUAGGCUGGGUAUGUUCAAAGGAACCCCUGCAGAGGCCAUGAUUCAUCCUCACCUCAUAUUUAAAAUGUCCCAUUCCUUGGACCGGACUGCACUAGUCUUAACUACUUAGUAGGAAGUAGGCUCAGUUCUUUAUUUCCCUUGAUGGUUUUUUUUUUUUUUUUGAUGCUAAUAUUUUCUUCUUCAAUUUAUUUUAUCUUACUUUACUUCCGUUCUUAAAGAAAUACUGAGUUGUUCUCCAGUGGUUUCAUUUCUGAAUGACAUCAACAUUAUACUUCCAUUUGCGUCCAUUGCUAUAAGUUGGUAAUACAUGUUUUUCAUAAUCAUCUGAUGAUCUUAAGGGAGUGCCAGGUUUCGAGGAAAUUCUCAGGUUCUCUAUAAUGAGUCAUAUGGUAAUCUUCAUGUUAGAUAUUGAAUCUCAAAUGCACUUCAUCUUUAAAUUUUAUCUCAAAAUACAUUUAAAUAACUUAUAAUACUCAAAUCUCAUUAGACUGGUUAAUAAAUCUUAAAACAUAAGUGAUAAGCAUCCAUUCCUGCAGUUUUAUAUCAAUGAAAUGUAUCUAGAUAUACUAUUGCAGCCAUCUUGUAGACCUAAAGAUAAGUUCUAAGAAUGCUGUAGCUCUUCUGUAAAGCAUUCUACCUAACCUAGAAAAUCGGUAAACACCCAGGAAAACAAAACACAAAACAAAAC
This 1533-nucleotide long non-coding RNA is filed under the name Mus musculus (house mouse). RNAcentral describes it as "long non-coding RNA chr12:38141442-38142975". Lineage: Eukaryota; Metazoa; Chordata; Mammalia; Rodentia; Muridae. The record is from RNAcentral.